CAUGACCUUGCUCAAGCGGUUCAGGCCGCCUCAUGUCAGAAGUUACACGACAGAGUCGUUGUAAGCAUACGUUUCCCACGAAUUAUCCGGUAUGACGUGCUCGAAGGAAACUGUAUAUGGAUCAGCCUGUGACAACCUGCUAAGAAAUCAGAACUGGUAAUGAUGCUACUUGUGUGUCCUGACGCUGAAAAUACAGUCUCUGUGUUGCACUUCAUCAGUAGGCCUAGUCUGUGUAUACUUUCUCAGAUAAAAACCCUGUCAGUAGUGUGUACUUAUCAUAAAAAUAUACUAUUAGCACAUUUUAUGAUAAAUAAACAAAAGUUUUAAAUA
Molecule: long non-coding RNA, 330 nt
Organism: Schistocerca serialis cubense
Lineage: Eukaryota; Metazoa; Arthropoda; Insecta; Orthoptera; Acrididae
Exons: 2
Source: RefSeq, a predicted model, not a curated record